Molecule: ribosomal RNA, 497 nt
Filed under: uncultured bacterium
Lineage: Bacteria
Description: partial 16S ribosomal RNA
Rfam family: Bacterial small subunit ribosomal RNA
Source: RNAcentral
GAUGAACGCUGGCGGCGUGCCUAAUACAUGCAAGUCGAGCGAACAGACGAGGAGCUUGCUCCUCUGACGUUAGCGGCGGACGGGUGAGUAACACGUGGAUAACCUACCUAUAAGACUGGGAUAACUUCGGGAAACCGGAGCUAAUACCGGAUAAUAUAUUGAACCGCAUGGUUCAAUAGUGAAAGACGGUUUUGCUGUCACUUAUAGAUGGAUCCGCGCCGCAUUAGCUAGUUGGUAAGGUAACGGCUUACAAAGGCAACGAUGCGUAGCCGACCUGAGAGGGUGAUCGGCAACACUGGAACUGAGACACGGUCCAGACUCCUACGGGAGGCAGCAGUAGGGAAUCUUCCGCAAUGGGCGAAAGCCUGACGGAGCAACGCCGCGUGAGUGAUGAAGGUCUUCGGAUCGUAAAACUCUGUUAUUAGGGAAGAACAAAUGUGUAAGUAACUAUGCACGUCUUGACGGUACCUAAUCAGAAAGCCACGGCUAACUACGUG